AUGAUUGUUUCAUUUUCUUGUGUCACCUUGACGUCAUAUAUCAUUUAUGUUUAUUUUUUGGGGUUGUUCUUACCAUCUGGCGUUGUUUUACAACAAGUCUGUCACUGUGGUGAGUGUUGUGAUGUUAAGUUACCAUUUUUUAUAUAUUUUUGA
Vicia faba (fava bean) is the source of this 153-nucleotide non-coding RNA. The record is from the annotation of a GenBank genome assembly. NCBI's taxonomy places the organism in Eukaryota, Viridiplantae, Streptophyta, Magnoliopsida, Fabales, Fabaceae.